Long non-coding RNA from Pyrus x bretschneideri (Chinese white pear), 1601 nucleotides. RefSeq lists it as uncharacterized. Lineage: Eukaryota; Viridiplantae; Streptophyta; Magnoliopsida; Rosales; Rosaceae. The transcript is spliced from 3 exons. The record is from RefSeq and is a predicted model, not a curated record.
CCCACCCUGGAACGGGUUGUUCCACGCCUGUGGGACAGAAAUUUCCAAAAUUUUAAGACAAAAAUGCCCCUUGUCUUUUUCAAAAUUUACAUCAAAAAUCAUAUAACAAACCCUAAAAACUAUCCCUCUUCUUCUCAGCCGUCGUGUUCCUCCCUCUGCAUCUUCCCUUUCCUCCUCAUCUUCUUCCCUGUAGCCUCUUCACCUCUGCAUCUUCCGUGUAGCAGCUCUGCGAACCUUCCUCCUCAUCCUCUUCCGUAGCAUCUUCAGCUCUGCAUCUCGGUUCCAGAGUGCAGCAAAAUACUAGUUUUUUUUGGCGAUUCUCAUCUGGGUCUGGUACAUUUUUUUCUUUGGUUUCUGUUUCCGCUUUCAAUCUGUCUUUCUGUUCUCAAAUUCAAUUUAGGAAAUUAGGCAUCUUGCAAGAGGUUCUGCAAGAACGUUGUUCCCUUCCUUAUCAAUUUGGAGCAUGAACUAAGGAAUAUAAUGAGGUUAUUGCCCAAGAGGUUCUGCAAAAACGUUGGCUCCAGAAAUCUGGGAAUACCUGGUCACAGGAGGUUUUGCAUUCGAAACCUCCAAUCCCAAUUCCCAACUUCUUUGUUCAUUUUCAAGUUGUAGGUUUGUCUGCAUUUCCCUAAAAAAACAAACAAACUAUGUCAAAUUUUGUACAGUUGUUGGCGAUACUAGGCAAUAGAGAUUAUUUAUUAUCAAGUGAGAUCUGAUACUCUCAUGAAGUUCUGUUUCAACAUAUGCAAUCAAGUAAUUUGCAAUAAAUUUAUCUCCAAUCUAAUCACAGAAUCUUGUUUUAUUCAUUUUCAUACAUAUUCUUAUUUUGAUUGGGUUCACUUUUGGAGGUAUUGCAAGCUAGACAUCUUUUACUUGUUUUCUCCGGCUUGAAGAGGAUUGUAAGAAGUGUUUUUAUUACUGUCUGAGAUCCACAACUUGUGUUUGUAACUAGUUUAUUUUCGUCUUUGAAAAGCAUCUAUAUAAAUGUCAUAGAAGUGUUGGAUGCCUAGCUUUAGGAGAGCAUCCUUCUCCACAUUCUCAAAGGUUCAAAAUUGAUAGCCUAGAAAGAUAGCCUGCUGGUGAACACUUUCCUGUAAUCCAGGUAUGUAUUACUCUGCCAAGUAAUCCUAGACUAUCUUGCGAAGCAUGAAAACAAUGUGCAAAGAGGCUAGUAUCCAAGAAAGGAUGGACUUGAAUAGGUGAUUACUUAAAUACAUAUCAAUCUGCAAUUUGGUGUUUCUUGAGUGCAGUUGUUUUAAAAUUAUUUGCAUUGGUAAAGAACAAUGGUUCAUUCUAAAUGUCAAUGGACUAAUCCAUCUGAUGCAUUUUGUUUUCCAGAUUCGGGAAACCGUCCCUUUCAGAUUUUUGGCCAAAUAUGGACUCAAUGGAGGGAUGAUCUUGCAAGAGAAAUAUAUGAUGAGUGGAGAGGAAGGAGGGCUUGAAAAUUGGUUAACAUGGUAGUUGUUGUAAUUGUCUUUUAGAUGUGGACUCAAUGUAGUUGUUGUAAUUGGCUUGAAAAUUCGUAACAUCAAGACUAUUGAGAUGUUUGUUAUUGUAAUAUGGUAAUUGGGAGUUAUCUAGAUAUUAUGGCUUAUUUGAUA